RNAcentral lists this ribosomal RNA (436 nucleotides) under uncultured bacterium. RNAcentral's name for it is "bacterial SSU rRNA". It matches the Rfam family "Bacterial small subunit ribosomal RNA", at positions 954 to 1392 of the family's 1533-position model. The record is from RNAcentral.
AUGGGAACGCGAAGAACCUUACCUAGACUUGACAUCUCCUGAAUAGUGUAGAGAUACAUGAAGCCCUUCGGGGCAGGAAGACAGGUGGUGCAUGGUUGUCGUCAGCUAGUGUCGUGAGAUGUUGGGUUAAGUCCCGCAACGAGCGCAACCCUUAUUACUAGUUGCUACCAUUAAGUUGAGCACUCUAGUGAGACUGCCCGGGUUAACCGGGAGGAAGGCGGGGAUGACGUCAAAUCAUCAUGCCCCUUAUGUCUAGGGCUACACACGUGCUACAAUGGUGGGAACAAAGAGAUGCAAUACCGCAAGGUGGAGCUAAACUCAAAACCCCAUCCCAGUUCGGAUUGUAGGCUGAAACUCGCCUACAUGAAGCUGGAGUUGCUAGUAAUCGCGAAUCAGAAUGUCGCGGUGAAUACGUUCCCGGGUCUUGUACACACCG